This is a long non-coding RNA of Eucalyptus grandis, 899 nucleotides long. RefSeq lists it as uncharacterized. Lineage: Eukaryota; Viridiplantae; Streptophyta; Magnoliopsida; Myrtales; Myrtaceae. The transcript has 2 exons. The record is from RefSeq and is a predicted model, not a curated record.
AAGGGAUGCUCUCUCCUCCUUUAUUUCAAAUUUCGUUCGAGACCCCUCCCUCCUCUCCUCUCCUCUGGUCGCCCGACGCUCUCUUUCAGUUGUUGGGAAACGACGGAGGCUUGGUGGCAUUGGGUCGGAUGGCACUACGGCACGAGCUUCCCUCAGGGGUCGUCGGAGAGAAAUAGACACGAAUGUUGGCGUCUGUGCAGUCGUUACACUAGCCGGCCGACCCAGAAGAGAACGAAGUCGAACUCCCUGUCGACGUCGUCGUCGUCCUCCGUACUGGCACGUCGUAACCGGCACGCCAAUACCGUCUCUCCUAUUCCUCCUCCUAUGCGGAUGCUGCCUCCAUCCAUUGAGAUGAUUAGUUUGAGCAUCACUCAUUGCUCGGCUGAAUGGAGCGCUAGAACAAAAGCUAGCACAGUCACCAAAAACUGUUAUGGUGAGACAAUGCCGAUGAGUAGAAUUGCCUAUCUAGGCAAAUACCUAGAGCAGAUGAGACCUGUAGAUGAAGUACUUAAGACAUGCAUAGUCCAUCAAUGCCGGCAUAUCUUCUUGACAUAACAAUGCUCUCGGCUUUGCGGAAAGACGGACACACUUAUAUCUACUAAGGCAAACUGAGCCCAAAGUGAAGAGCUUGCCCAAAUUGAUAUGCUGACUGCAGACAUCGACACGUUCCCGGCUUGCCUAAUACUUGGAACCAACUUUUUUACGGGGCUUUGUUUUACUAAUUUUUCACUUGUUAUAAUGUACGCUUACUGGCAAUUGUAACAAUUUACUUCUCUGCCUCCCCUGACAAUUCUAUGGGAGAGUGUGAAUAUGAAAAUGUCUCAUUUGUCAUGUAAAGACAACUAAAAGCAUAUUGCUUUUGCUCGAAACUAAGGUGGCUCGUUUCUACUUAGCAUUUA